AGUGAUCCCAAUGCUCAGCCACCGUCCGUGAUCUCAAUGCUCAGCCACCGUCCGUGAUCUCAAUGCUCAGCCACCGUCCGUGAUCCCAAUGCUCAGCCACCGUCCGUGAUCUCAAUGCUCAGCCACCGUCCGUGAUUUCAAUGCUCUUCCGGGAUCUCAAUCCUUUGUCGGGAUUUCAAUGCUCUUCCGGGAUUUCAAUCCUCUGUCGGGAUUUCAAUGCUCUACCGGGAUCUCAAUCCUUUGUCGGGAUUUCAAUGCUCUUCCAGGAUUUCAAUCCUCUGUCGGG
Molecule: long non-coding RNA, 286 nt
Filed under: Salvia miltiorrhiza (redroot sage)
Lineage: Eukaryota; Viridiplantae; Streptophyta; Magnoliopsida; Lamiales; Lamiaceae
Description: long non-coding RNA (SMIL_LNC013619)
Source: RNAcentral